GGAGGGCUCCGAGGCCGACCUCAGCCCCGCAGCGCAGCCCGGACCCAUCCCGCGUGGCCGCGCCGCCCCGAGCCCCGCACGGAGGCCCCGCACCGCCAUCGCGCAGCGCAGCGCAGCGCACCGCCCCCGUUCCGCCCCGGGCGCCGCGCGAGGUUCCGUUUUCCGGACACCGCCUCGUCUUACUUGAACUGAGCGCGCGGCUGCCGCGCGUUAAUGACUGCAGCCUUUAAUUAAUUACACGUUCGAAUGGCGUCUGACGCGCGGCCUGAGCGACAGCGCGACGGGAAACGGCUCUGCGCGGCCGGGAAGGUCCGGGUCGGGCGUGAGCGGAAAACCUCCGCCCGGAGGCGGUGCGGCCCCGGCCCUGGAGCAGCCCUGGAGCAGCCCCGGAGCCCCGGGAUGGGAGCGCUCCGCCCGCGGCGGGGACGGGAACUGCGUGACCUUUACGGUCCCCUCCGCCCCCGCCCCGCCCCCCCCGCUCCACGAUCCCACGACGUUCCCGAGAUCCCAGCCGAGCCCACGCUGCGCCCCACCGCCACCCCCUGCGCCCAGCGGGGCUCAGCCCGAGGGACGCGCCGGGCGGUGGGAAAGGAGAAGUGGAGAAGUGAGAAAGGUCUGCGACAAAGGGAGGGGAAAGCCGGCACCGCAGAUUCCCGUUCUCAGGCCGACGUCACCCUCUCCUCCCCGGAUCCCACAGCGGGGAGUUUCCCAGCUGGCUGCGAGGCCUAUAAGGUGGGGAUGGGCUGCAGCUGCACAGAUCACGUAUGGGCUCCGUGACCGAUGUGAUGCGGAGAGCUCUGAUGUGCAUUCAUGGUAUUGUGUCUGUUUACCCACACAAGGCAGGAUUGAUUUCAUCUUCAUCUCAUAGCAGCCAAGCUCAGGGAUCCCACACCCAGGAAGCACCUACGGACAACAGUCAUCUCACUGGGAGGGUCUGCUUCCAUGGGUAGAUCCCACAGUCCAGCUGGGAGAGCCAAAACUGACCUCACUGACGCUUCAUCGCUCCCCCUUUGCACCACCGCUCCUCACCCAUCAGAGGAUGAGGCUCAGCUGCUUCAGGAGGUGGAAAGAGGUUGGUGAGAGUUGGUUGCAGUGUAACCUGCAGCCCAGCUGGCAUGGGCCACUCGACGGGAGGGGAAAGGAGCUCCGCUCUGCAGCUUCUCGUCGUAGUGUUUCAUGGUUGGGAGGUACCAAACUCCCGUAAAAACGCUGUCCCAGGUUUGCUCUGCUUUACACUUCUCAUGGGACAGAAAGUUUGGUAUUUCUGUACAAUGCUUACUGUCUGUCUUAUCCAAAGCAACAAAAAUAAACACCAUUAAGUCCGUGUUGGCGAAGUUUAUUUGCGGGUCAGAAGGCCCCUUGGGAGGCCUGGGAACAGGGCUAGCAUCUCCAGCCAGCUAUGGGGAGCCACUUCCUACGGAAAGCCUUUCUGCCUAAAGCCUCUGCCCUUCACUUCAAGUUUAUCAGGUGUGCCAUUUCAGUGGGUGAUUUAUAUGCCCUAUGAAUCCCAACAGCACCCAAGCAGAGAAGGCAUUCACCAGGUGAGGCUGUUGUGACCUCAAAUAUUAGUAAAAAUAGGAAAAAUGUGUUUCCAGCAUCUGUUCAGGCCCAGAAAGUCCUCUGAAAUGGCUGUAGGCAAGUUGCUCAAAGAGAAGCAAGACUUGGCAACCUUCAUGAAGUCUCAGAGUAACAGGACAGAGUUCCAGAAGUAAGCAUCUUUUCC
Molecule: long non-coding RNA, 1723 nt
Filed under: Gallus gallus (chicken)
Lineage: Eukaryota; Metazoa; Chordata; Aves; Galliformes; Phasianidae
Source: RNAcentral